RNAcentral lists this transfer RNA (97 nucleotides) under Clostridium fallax. RNAcentral's name for it is "tRNA-seC(tca)". It matches the Rfam family "Selenocysteine transfer RNA". Lineage: Bacteria; Bacillati; Bacillota; Clostridia; Eubacteriales; Clostridiaceae. The record is from RNAcentral.
GGGGGUAGAUAAGAGCUGGUGUUCUUGCCGGUCUUCAAAACCGUGUUGUCGUGCUAGGACCACGAUGGGUAGGUUCGAUUCCUACAUACUCCCGCCA